This 486-nucleotide ribosomal RNA is filed under the name uncultured bacterium. Its description in RNAcentral is "partial 16S ribosomal RNA". It matches the Rfam family "Bacterial small subunit ribosomal RNA", at positions 28 to 507 of the family's 1533-position model. The record is from RNAcentral.
GAUGAACGCUGGCGGCGUGCCUUACACAUGCAAGUCGAGCGAACGCACGAGAAGUUUGCUCUUGUGACGUUUGCCGCGGAGGGGUGAGUAACAUGUGGACAACCCAUGUAUAAGAGUGGGACAACGCCGGGAAAGCAGUGAUACUACAGGCGAAUUACGUGUGACGCAUGGUUCAAUAGUGAAAGACGGUUUUGCUGUUACCCAUAGGCUGAUCAGCUAGUUGGUAGGGUAACGGCAUACCAAGGCGACGAUCAGUAGCCGAUCUGAGAGGAAGAUCAGCCACACUGGAACUGAGACACGGCCCAGACUCCUACGGGAGGCAGCAGUAGGGAAUCUUGGACAAUGGGCGAAAGCCUGACCCAGCAACGCCGCGUGUGUGAUGAAGGUCUUCGGGUCGUAAAGCACUGUUGUCAGGAAAGAAAACCUUUGUAAUUAUCUGGUCACGUCAUGACGGUACCUGAAGAAUAAGCACCGGCUAACUACGUG